Molecule: ribosomal RNA, 383 nt
Filed under: Triatoma infestans
Lineage: Eukaryota; Metazoa; Arthropoda; Insecta; Hemiptera; Reduviidae
Description: SSU rRNA
Rfam family: Eukaryotic small subunit ribosomal RNA
Source: RNAcentral
AUGUCGCGGCAUGUCCUGUCGGUGGUGAACGGAGUCCACGACGCUACAUGGGCUUUAUAGUCGAUGUUAGCAUCGUGUGUACUUCCGUUGGCCGAUCUCUCCUACUUCGGUGCUCUUAAACGAGUGUCGAGGUAGGCCGACACGUUCACUUUGAACAAAUUAGAGUGCUUAAAGCAGGCUGAAAUAUCUGCCUGAAUAGUGGUGCAUGGAAUGAUAAAACAGGACCUCGGUUCUAUUUUGUUGGUUUUAGGAAUAUGAGGUAAUGAUCAAUGUGGACUGGCGGGGGCAUUCGUAUUGCGACGUUAGAGGUGAAAUUCUUGGAUCGUCGCAAGACGCACUAGAGCGAAAGCAUUUGCCAAGUAUGUCUUAAUUGAUCAAGAACG